Molecule: ribosomal RNA, 497 nt
Filed under: uncultured bacterium
Lineage: Bacteria
Description: partial 16S ribosomal RNA
Rfam family: Bacterial small subunit ribosomal RNA
Source: RNAcentral
GAUGAACGCUGGCGGCGUGCCUAAUACAUGCAAGUCGAGCGAACAGAUGAGGAGCUUGCUCCUCUGACGUUAGCGGCGGACGGGUGAGUAACACGUGGAUAACCUACCUAUAAGACUGGGAUAACUUCGGGAAACCGGAGCUAAUACCGGAUAAUAUAUUGAACCGCAUGGUUCAAUAGUGAAAGACGGUUUUGCUGUUACUUAUAGAUGGAUCCGCGCCGCAUUAGCUAGUUGGUAAGGUAACGGCUUACCAAGGCAACGACGCGUAGCCGACCUGAGAGGGUGAUCGGCCACACUGGAACUGAGACACGGUCCAGACUCCUACGGGAGGCAGCAGUAGGGAUUCUUCCGCAAUGGGCGAAAGCCUGACGGAGCAACGCCGCGUGAGUGAUGAAGGUCUUCGGAUCGUAAAACUCUGUUAUUAGGGAAGAACAAAUGUGUAAGUAACUAUGCACGUCUUGACGGUACCUAAUCAGAAAGCCACGGCUAACUACGUG